UACGGAGGGUGCAAGCGUUGCUCGGAAUUAUUGGGCGUAAAGGGCAGGUAGGUGGUCUCGUUUGUCUGGGGUGAAAGCCUUGAGCUUAACUCAAGAAGUGCCCCAGAAACGGCGAGACUAGAGUACUGGAGAGGGUCGUGGAAUUCCCGGUGUAGCGGUGAAAUGCGUAGAGAUCGGGAGGAACACCAGCGGCGAAGGCGGCGACCUGGACAGUUACUGACACUCA
RNAcentral lists this ribosomal RNA (226 nucleotides) under uncultured prokaryote. RNAcentral describes it as "partial 16S ribosomal RNA". It matches the Rfam family "Bacterial small subunit ribosomal RNA", at positions 524 to 749 of the family's 1533-position model. The record is from RNAcentral.